GACACCUUUCCCACCUAUUAGCCGAUGAGAGCGAUGAGCUUAAUACACGUGUGAAACCCACGACGGCUAUGCUUCCUCCGCAGUUAGUUCUUCGAGUUAAUCCUAGCAAUAAUGAAUGUUAAUCAAUCAUUCCCCCCACUACCUCCUCUUCGGUUCAGCUUCUCAGCUUCUCCACCUUCUCAAAUAAUCGGAGUUGCUCUAUAUAUAUGGUGCUCAUCCUCAAGAUGGAACGCUACGUUUUGGUUACUCUUUCUACUGUCGGGAUCAACCGAAGCUUGAGCUUUAUAUCAUUGUGAAUUCCCAGAUCCACUUCUCCGAAUUGAAGGCCGUCGGUUGCAAACAAGUUGUCGUGACACGCCUGCUGCGCUUUUGUAAGCGCUGGAACCUAAAAAGGAGGAGAGCUAAUUGGAGUUCAUAUGUCGACUUUGAUUUAGAGACAUUCAGCGUGUGAUGAAAACCUGUCCAUUCAGAAUGUCAUGGUAACAAUACAAUUGGACAGGGCUCUGAUAUGAUCAUGAGUAGCUGAUGACCUGAGAAGAAAGAAGUGAAGUAGGAGCUGGCACCAGCUUAAGGGAGUCGAGAGUUAGAAGUUUCUGUAUGCAUUUUCUGAUUUGUAAACUGGGUUGAUUGAGCUGGGCUCUUCAAUGGCGACGAUCUGGUGAUUGUUGAGCUCCGAUUAUCUAGAGAUAAUCGGUAGCGAGUUGUAAUCAUUUCUGGAGAUUCGAUUACGUUAUCGAUAAAGUACUUCGUUGAUCUUGAGUUCGAGUUUAGAUCAUAACAGGCUCAGACUGUCUGUGUUAGUGUGUUUGAUAUUGUUGCAAACUUAGAUGAGAAGCUACACUCUUG
Long non-coding RNA from Brassica oleracea var. oleracea, 846 nucleotides. RefSeq lists it as uncharacterized. The transcript has 3 exons. NCBI's taxonomy places the organism in Eukaryota, Viridiplantae, Streptophyta, Magnoliopsida, Brassicales, Brassicaceae. The record is from RefSeq and is a predicted model, not a curated record.